This 466-nucleotide ribosomal RNA is filed under the name uncultured bacterium. RNAcentral's name for it is "bacterial SSU rRNA". It matches the Rfam family "Bacterial small subunit ribosomal RNA", at positions 331 to 794 of the family's 1533-position model. The record is from RNAcentral.
CCAGACUCCUACGGGAGGCAGCAGUGAGGAAUAUUGGUCAAUGGUCGGGAGACUGAACCAGCCAAGCCGCGUGAGGGAUGAAGGUACAGAGUAUCGUAAACCUCUUUUGUCAGGGAACAAAGGCGGGGACGCGUCCCCGGAUGAGUGUACCUGAAGAAAAAGCAUCGGCUAACUCCGUGCCAGCAGCCGCGGUAAUACGGAAGGUCCGGGCGUUAUCCGGAUUUAUUGGGUUUAAAGGGAGCGUAGGCCGGCUUUUAAGUCAGCUGUGAAAGUCCGCGGCUCAACCGUGGAAUUGCAGUUGAAACUGGAGGCCUUGAGUGCACACAGGGAUGCCGGAAUUCAUGGUGUAGCGGUGAAAUGCUUAGAUAUCACGCAGAACUCCGAUUGCGAAGGCAGCGUACCGGCGCCCAACUGACGCUCAUGCACGAAAGCGUGGGUAUCGAACAGGAUUAGAUACCCCCGUAGA